Molecule: unclassified non-coding RNA, 343 nt
Filed under: soil metagenome
Description: partial contains 5.8S ribosomal RNA, internal transcribed spacer 2, and large subunit ribosomal RNA
Rfam family: 5.8S ribosomal RNA (bases 1-120)
Source: RNAcentral
GAUGAAGAACGCAGCGAAAUGCGAUAAGUAAUGUGAAUUGCAGAAUUCAGUGAAUCAUCGAAUCUUUGAACGCACAUUGCGCCCGCUAGUAUUCUGGCGGGCAUGCCUGUCCGAGCGUCAUUUCAACCCUCAAGCCCCCGGGCUUGGUGCUGGGGAUCGGCGAGCCUCCGCGCCCGCCGUCCCCUAAAUCUAGUGGCGGUCUCGCUGUAGCUUCCUCUGCGUAGUAGCACACCUCGCACUGGGAAACAGCGCGGCCACGCCGUUAAACCCCCAACUUCUGAACGUUUGACCUCGGAUCAGGUAGGAAUACCCGCUGAACUUAAGCAUAUCAAUAAGCGGAGGA